RNAcentral lists this non-coding RNA (27 nucleotides) under Trypanosoma vivax. The record is from RNAcentral. Lineage: Eukaryota; Euglenozoa; Kinetoplastea; Trypanosomatida; Trypanosomatidae.
AAGAAAAUGCACAACAGACAAAGAAGU